Molecule: ribosomal RNA, 492 nt
Filed under: uncultured bacterium
Lineage: Bacteria
Description: partial 16S ribosomal RNA
Rfam family: Bacterial small subunit ribosomal RNA
Source: RNAcentral
AGUGAACGCUGGCGGUAGGCCUAACACAUGCAAGUCGAACGGCAGCACAGUAAGAGCUUGCUCUUACGGGUGGCGAGUGGCGGACGGGUGAGGAAUACAUCGGAAUCUACUUUUUCGUGGGGGAUAACGUAGGGAAACUUACGCUAAUACCGCAUACGACUUACGGGUGAAAGCAGGGGAUCUUCGGACCUUGUGCGAUUGAAUGAGCCGAUGUCGGAUUAGCUAGUUGGCGGGGUAAAGGCCCACCAAGGCGACGAUCCGUAGCUGGUCUGAGAGGAUGAUCAGCGACACUGGAACUGAGACACGGUCCAGACUCCUACGGGAGGCAGCAGUGGGGAAUAUUGGACAACGGGCGCAAGCCUGAUCCAGCCAUACCGCGUGGGUGAAGAAGGCCUUCGGGUUGUAAAGCCCUUUUGUUGGGAAAGAAAAGCAGCAGGUUAAUACCCCGCUGUUCUGACGGUACCCAAAGAAUAAGCACCGGCUAACUUCGUG